CAGAGGGUGCGAGCGUUAAUCGGAAUUACUGGGCGUAAAGCGUGCGUAGACGGCUAUCUAAGUCGGGUGUGAAAGCCCCGGGCUCAACCUGGGAAUUGCAUUCGAGACUGAAUAGCUAGGGUACGGUAGAGGGAAGUGGAAUUUCCGGUGUAGCGGUGAAAUGCGUAGAUAUCGGAAGGAACAUCAGUGGCGAAAGCGACUUCCUGGACCAGUACCGACGUUCAGGCACAAAAGCGUGGGGAGCAAACAGGAUUAGAUACCCUGGUAGUCCACGCCAUAAACGAUGAGGACUAGACGUUGGAGGGGUAAGCCUUUCAGUGUCGUAGCUAACGCGCUAAGUCCUCCGCCUGGGGAGUACGGCCGCAAGGUUG
RNAcentral lists this ribosomal RNA (371 nucleotides) under uncultured organism. RNAcentral describes it as "bacterial SSU rRNA". It matches the Rfam family "Bacterial small subunit ribosomal RNA", at positions 526 to 896 of the family's 1533-position model. The record is from RNAcentral.